This is a long non-coding RNA of Gallus gallus (chicken), 1889 nucleotides long. NCBI's taxonomy places the organism in Eukaryota, Metazoa, Chordata, Aves, Galliformes, Phasianidae. The record is from Ensembl.
CGGAGCGGCUUCGCAGCCUGCAGUUGAACGUGAAUGUCUGUGUACUUAAUGUCACACACGCGCAAACCGAAGGCUUUGCCCGCGGUGACCUGCGCAGAGCCCUCACCUUCCUCCGGGGUGGUGCUGGAAGCGCUUCCCUCCCGCUGCGUCCGCCUUCUGCAGUCCUGUUCUGGCUCCAGGCCUCUCCACCCGGCAGCGCCCGGCUCUUGUGAGCUCACAGAGCUGCUCCGUGCGUCCUGCCUUCCCAGCAGCGUGUGACUGCUGGUAGGGUUGUUGCAGCCACCUGAAGUCUCUCGGCAAGGAGGUGGGAGCGUCUCGCCUUGUCGGGGCUAAUCUUAGGUCCUCUCUCCCGACAGCGGCCACAGCAGUGCUCCCCUACCCGGCACCACCUGUAGGAGUGUGGGAGCUGGAGAAGUGAAUGCCUUGCAGGGAUUUUCACCGGCUGCACGAGCUGGAAAGCUGGUGAUGCCUGCAAGGGAGUGGGAACACGGCUGUUGUUCAGGGCUUGUGCCGUGGCAGCUGCUGGCUGCUGUGCAUGUGAGCCCGUGCUCUGAGAUCUGGAUGGAACAAGGCAUCUGUCAUGGGCUACAAAGCAACACGCUGCUCUCAAGACAGACAUCUGCAGCGCUGAUGCGUCCUUUGGGUCCUUUGAUAUGCAGACUCACCUUUAAGUUGGCUGUCAGCUCAGCUGCCGUUGUUGGUCUCAAACUGUGAGUCUACAUCCAAGCAAGUAUUACAAUACUGCAGUUUUCCAUAACCUCCUCAGCAGCAUCUGGAUAAGCGACGAAAAAGUCUGCACUGCUCUUUUCUGUUGGAUCUUUUUUUCCUGCUCCCUCUAGCUCUCAUCAUGCCUUCACCUGCUCAUAUAAGCAACUGUAUGUCAAGUUUGCUUCCAGGCUGGGUAGCACAUUGCCUCUUUGACAGUUAAGUUCUCCAUCUUCUACUGGUUGCUGGUCUUAUCUACAAUGAUUUUUCGUCAUCCCAAACGGAGAUGACUGCAUGCCCAUUGAGGUGCACUAUAGAUGCUGUUCUUUUGAAAACUGAACAUCUGCUUGCAGCUGUCUACAAAUUAUGAGCCAACGUUGCUUUAAAUCCUUUCAUGGCAUCUUCAAUUCUGUUCCAGAUCGCUCUAAAUUUUCUUUUAAUCAACUUUGAAAUCAGAGACGACUUCUGUUUUUCCAAAUAUCUCACUCUGCUGCUGCUAAUGCCACCUUUAAAGCUUCCCGUCAGCAGUUGGCCCAUAGCUAAAAUUUGCAUAGUUACUAUUUUAGUAACUAAACAUUUCAGUGUUUACUUGGGCAUUUCAUAUACGGCCUUUUAAUAUACAGUGGCUACUGGAGGUGCUAAAUACAUGGUUUUCCGUGGCAACAGAAUUCAUCAUUCUGUAAUUCAUAACUGGUUUACUCAAAUGUUGAGCUACGUGUGCUAUUUUUAACUACUACUUAGAGCAACUCUUCUAUUAUUAAUGUCACUUUUGCCCCAUAUUAAAAUUUUCAGGUUAAUAACUCUUUUUUAUUAUUAUUUAAAAACGAGGAGGCCAUAGAAAUAUUUUGGAAAGAGUCUUUGGAGAAGAAAGGAGGUUGAACCACAUGAGUUAUGCUGUAGCUCGUGUUUCCAGCAGCACUCAUUUCACAGUUACGGUGUCUUUCAGUGUUGGUUCACAGACUCACGUCAUUCCAGUUCCUGGAUUCUUACAAGAAGGGACCAACACUGUGGGAUUUAUCAUGGAAUUUGGACUAGCAGAUUAUUGCCCUUGUCUGUAACCUACUUUAAAAAUUAAAGACUAUUCAGCUCUGUAAUCAAGAGAGCAGCCCAAUCGUAUGUUAAAUUUUAUCAGUAGAUUUAUCUCAUUAAUGAAGUUCUCCUUUACUCAUCUUGUACUCUUAAAG